Capra hircus (goat) is the source of this 96-nucleotide unclassified non-coding RNA. Lineage: Eukaryota; Metazoa; Chordata; Mammalia; Artiodactyla; Bovidae. The record is from Ensembl.
AUGUAAACGUGUAGAGUCCUCAGGAUGGAUCUAACCUGAGCUCUUUGUCCUGCAGCUGUGGCUCACUGCCCCCGGCGGGCAGUGAGUCAGUGGGCU